Non-coding RNA from Coffea arabica (coffee), 412 nucleotides. Lineage: Eukaryota; Viridiplantae; Streptophyta; Magnoliopsida; Gentianales; Rubiaceae. The record is from RefSeq and is a predicted model, not a curated record.
AGAGAUGGAAAUGUUUUAAGAAUUGUUUAGGUGCCUUAGAUGGGACAUUAAUAGAUGUGACACCACCCACCGAACAAAAAUCAAGAUACCGAACGAGAAAAGGAAGUAUUGCAACGAAUGUAUUAGGGGUUUGUUCUCCUAAUAUGCAAUUUAUCUAUGUCUUGCCUGGUUGGGAAGGUUCGGCACAUGAUGGUCGUGUGCUUCGAAAUGCUAUCUCUAGACCAAAUGGUCUUAGAGUCCCACAAGGUUGUUAUUACUUGGUGGAUGCUGGAUAUUGUAAUGCUGAUGGAUUUCUUGCCCCUUAUCGAGGGCAAAGAUAUCACCUUAAUGAAUUCAAUGGUUAUCGACCACAAAGACCAGAGGAAUAUUUCAACAUGAAACAUUCUAAAGCUAGAAAUAUCAUAGAAAGAUG